This 477-nucleotide ribosomal RNA is filed under the name Candidatus Scalindua brodae. Its description in RNAcentral is "bacterial SSU rRNA". It matches the Rfam family "Bacterial small subunit ribosomal RNA", at positions 365 to 832 of the family's 1533-position model. The record is from RNAcentral. Lineage: Bacteria; Pseudomonadati; Planctomycetota; Candidatus Brocadiia; Candidatus Brocadiales; Candidatus Scalinduaceae.
UUCGCAAUGCCCGAAAGGGUGACGAAGCGACGCCGCGUGGGUGAGGAAGGCCUUCGGGUUGUAAAGCCCUGUCAGGAGUUAAGAAAUGUAAGUGCGCUAAUAUCGCAUUUAUUUGACGAAGGCUCCAAAGGAAGCCACGGCUAACUCUGUGCCAGCAGCCGCGGUAAUACAGAGGUGGCAAGCGUUGUUCGGAAUUAUUGGGCGUAAAGAGCACGUAGGUGGGUUUGUAAGUCAGAUGUGAAAGCCUUCUGUUCAACGGAAGAAUUGCAUCUGAAACUACAAGUCUUGAGUGUAGGAGGGGAGAAUGGAACUUCUGGUGGAGCGGUGAAAUGCGUAGAUAUCAGAAGGAACGCCGGCGGCGAAAGCGAUUCUCUGGCCUAUUACUGACACUCAGUGUGCGAAAGCUAGGGGAGCAAACGGGAUUAGAUACCCCGGUAGUCCUAGCUGUAAACGAUGGGCACUAAGUAGAGGGGUUUU